This is a long non-coding RNA of Motacilla alba alba, 341 nucleotides long. RefSeq lists it as uncharacterized. The record is from RefSeq and is a predicted model, not a curated record. The transcript has 4 exons. Lineage: Eukaryota; Metazoa; Chordata; Aves; Passeriformes; Motacillidae.
UCCAAGCCUUGUGAGAGAAAAGGAUUCCUUGGCUGACAAAGAGUCAGAACCAUCUCUUGGAGGAGCAGGUCUUCCAGAACAGCUGUGAAUUCUGGCCCAAUAAACAGUUCAAGUCCUGCUCAUUAUCUUCAAAAAGGGCAAGAGAGGGGGAGUAGACUGUGCUACAACAGAAAUGAGCAGAGGAAAUCUCACUUGCUGGAAGCAGCAGUUACAGGGGAUCACGUCAAGCCACAGAACUCAUCCUGGCAAGCAGAACUUGCUCUCACGCAACCCAGUCUUGAGCUGUGCAUUUGAACACCCUUAACCAAAGACCAGCUGGACCUCUGUCUCAUGUAUACCAG